UACAGAGGUCCCGAGCGUUGUUCGGAUUCACUGGGCGUAAGGGGUGCGUAGGUGGCGGGGUAAGUCGGAUGUGAAAUCUCCGAGCUCAACUCGGAAAAUGCAUUGGAAACUGCCCUGCUCGAGGGUUGGAAGGGGGACUGGAAUGCUUGGUGUAGCAGUGAAAUGCGUAGAUAUCAAGCGGAACACCAGUGGCGAAGGCGAGUCCCUGGACAACUCCUGACACUGAGGCACGAAAGCUAGGGGAGCAAACAGG
Molecule: ribosomal RNA, 253 nt
Filed under: uncultured prokaryote
Description: partial 16S ribosomal RNA
Rfam family: Bacterial small subunit ribosomal RNA
Source: RNAcentral